GACGUAGGUGGCGAACGUUAUCCGGAAUCAUUGGGCGUAAAGGGCGCGUAGGUGGCGGGACAAGCGUGCGGUGAAAGCCUGGGGCUCAACCCCGGGUCGGCCGUGCGAACUGUUUUGCUUGAGCACUGUAGAGGCAGGCGGAAUUCCGGGUGUAGCGGUGGAAUGCGUAGAGAUCCGGAAGAACACCGGUGGCGAAGGCGGCCUGCUGGGCAGUAGCUGACACUGAGGCGCGACAGCGUGGGGGAGCAAACAGG
Molecule: ribosomal RNA, 254 nt
Filed under: uncultured bacterium
Lineage: Bacteria
Description: partial 16S ribosomal RNA
Rfam family: Bacterial small subunit ribosomal RNA
Source: RNAcentral